This is a non-coding RNA of Pelobates cultripes (western spadefoot toad), 247 nucleotides long. The record is from the annotation of a GenBank genome assembly. Lineage: Eukaryota; Metazoa; Chordata; Amphibia; Anura; Pelobatidae.
UCUGGUUCUAGUCAUCUUUAGGUGUAAAUUUAAAGGAACACUAGUGUCUGAAAUACAAACAUCUAUUCGUGACAUAGUGCUAAACUAUCCCCCCCAGUCGCAUCUUUUUUCUCCAUGGCAGUCUCCACCUGGGUGAGAUUAUGAAUCUUGAUCUCAACCAAUCAAAUGUUUUCACACAGGAAAGCAUUGGGAGGAUAUAGUGCAACUGCUCAUAGAGAUACAUUUAAUCAAUGAAUCUUUAUGAAAG